GAUGAACGCUGGCGGCGUGCCUAAUACAUGCAAGUCGAGCGAACAGACGAGGAGCUUGCUCCUCUGACGUUAGCGGCGGACGGGUGAGUAACACGUGGAUAACCUACCUAUAAGACUGGGAUAACUUCGGGAAACCGGAGCUAAUACCGGAUAAUAUAUUGAACCGCAUGGUUCAAUAGUGAAAGACGGUUUUGCUGUCACUUAUAGAUGGAUCCGCGCUGCAUUAGCUAGUUGGUAAGGUAACGGCUUACCAAGGCAACGAUGCGUAGCCGACCUGAGAGGGUGAUCGGCCACACUGGAACUGAGACACGGUCCAGACUCCUACGAGAGGCAGCAGUAGGGAAUCGGCCGCAAUGGGCGAAAGCCUGACGGAGCAACGCCGCGUGAGUGAUGAAGGUCUUCGGAUCGUAAAACUCUGUUAUUAGGUAAGAACAAAUGUGGAAGUAACUGUGCACGGCUUGACGGUACCGAAUCAGAAAGCCACGGCUAACUACGUG
Molecule: ribosomal RNA, 497 nt
Filed under: uncultured bacterium
Lineage: Bacteria
Description: partial 16S ribosomal RNA
Rfam family: Bacterial small subunit ribosomal RNA
Source: RNAcentral